Molecule: small nuclear RNA, 103 nt
Organism: Otolemur garnettii (small-eared galago)
Lineage: Eukaryota; Metazoa; Chordata; Mammalia; Primates; Galagidae
Source: Ensembl
UUGCUUUCGCAGCACAUAUACUAAAAUUGGAACAAUACAGGGAAGGUUAGCAUGGUCUCCAGACCAGGAUGACAUGCAAACUUGUGAAGCAUUCCAUACUUUG